AAUGAUGGAGGUGCAGGCAUUUCCUGAGGAUUAAUGACCAGCUGGGAGGAACCAGUGGCCCUUGGCUCUGCCUCCCAGCCAGCCAUUAAUUCCAAGGAAAUGUCUUUUGCUAAGGUCGUU
This is a microRNA precursor of Mustela putorius furo (domestic ferret), 120 nucleotides long. NCBI's taxonomy places the organism in Eukaryota, Metazoa, Chordata, Mammalia, Carnivora, Mustelidae. The record is from Ensembl.